Molecule: unclassified non-coding RNA, 88 nt
Filed under: Pseudomonas trivialis
Lineage: Bacteria; Pseudomonadati; Pseudomonadota; Gammaproteobacteria; Pseudomonadales; Pseudomonadaceae
Source: RNAcentral
GUGGGAGGGGGCUUGCUCCCGAUGACGGUGGGUCAGUCACAGGAUGGGUUCACUGACACUCCGCUAUCGGGAGCAAGCCCCCUCCCGC